This 484-nucleotide ribosomal RNA is filed under the name uncultured bacterium. RNAcentral describes it as "bacterial SSU rRNA". It matches the Rfam family "Bacterial small subunit ribosomal RNA", at positions 37 to 518 of the family's 1533-position model. The record is from RNAcentral.
UGGCGGCGUGCCUAACACAUGCAAGUCGAACGAAGCAUUUGGAGUUGAUCCCUCGGGUGACGCACCUUAUGACUUAGUGGCGGACGGGUGAGUAACACGUGAGCAACCUGCCUCUCAGAGUGGAAUAACAGUUGGAAACGGCUGCUAAUACCACAUAACGUUUUUGUGCCGCAUGACACUUCAACCAAAGAUUUAUCGCUGAGAGAUGGGCUCGCGUCCGAUUAGGUAGAUGGUGGGGUAACGGCCUACCAUGCCGACGAUCGGUAGCCGGACUGAGCGGUUGAUCGGCCACAUUGGGACUGAGACACGGCCCAGACUCCUACGGGAGGCAGCAGUGGGGGAUAUUGCACAAUGGGCGCAAGCCUGAUGCAGCAACGCCGCGUGCGGGAAGACGGCCUUCGGGUUGUAAACCGCUGUCCUUGGGGAAGAAACAAAUGACGGUACCCAAGAAGGAAGCCACGGCUAACUACGUGCCAGCCGCUGC